GUAAUGUAACAACUGAGACAAAGUCAUCUCUAUCUAAGGUCAGCUAUAUAUCUAAAAGCCAGGUGUGAGGUCAUUAUGUUCCCAGGGCUGGUCCUUUCUUGCCCAAACCAUAGUUCUAAUUCUCAUUUAUUGUUUAGCCCACCACCAGCCAGCUCUUAGUAAAUAUCUAACUAUGCUAUGCUUCUGGGCUAGUGAAAGUAUGUGCUACGGAGUUCUGUUCUAGGUAACCUUGUCAUGAAUAAUGCAAUACUCUAGUUCCUCCUUAAACCACAUCUCGACCUACUUCCUAAAGCAUUGUAAAUUCUUGUAAAUGUGAGUGACUGGGCUGUUAUUCUAAGUGAUUUUGUUGGGGACUUUCUUCUAUUAAGUAAUAUAGUCUGCCAUAUAUAACUAUAGUAAGAAUUCUAAACUUACUUUGCUAAGCUUGCCCUGAGAUUUCUAACUAUUUAGUAGAUAGUAAUGCCUGAAUUCUUUCACUGUCUCUUUUUCAAUACUGGAGGCAAUCCGUGUUAAUCGGUAACAGUCUAAUGAAAUCCCAAGUCCAGGGCCGGCUCAAGGGCUGGCUAGGACAUUGGUGAAGGCCAGGAAGCAAAGUUCAACCUAAUUUAGAUAUUUGACAAAUCAUUCCUUGGAGACACUGAUAAUAAAACAAUACUGAAAAAAAGCACACAGACCCAUUCACCUAUUAACGCAAGGACAAAUUUGAAACAUUCAUGCUAUGGGAUGCCAAGGCUCCAGGAGACUUCCAUGAAACUUUUUGCCUCAGGACCUUGUCUAAGCUUUUGGACUUGCCACACAGAUUUCACUGGAGUGGCUAUGGCACACCAGCACCUGGAUCUGUAAGGUUCUGCAAAGAAAGGCUUUGCACGUUCACUCUUCUGCCUCACCAGUCUUGAUUUCUGAACUUAUAAAUUUGACCAUAAGCUACUUGUGAAGUAAAAGAUGGAACAAAAGAAUGAGGGUUGUCGAUGACUCAGAAGUUUAAGAGCAGGGGUGGGUGUGGAGGGGUGGGUGCACUGGGGAGAAAGCUCAGCGGUUAAGAGUGCUGACUGCUCUUCCACAGAUUCUGAGUUCAAUUCCCAGCAACCACAUAGUGGCUCACCACCAUUUGUAAUGGGAUCCAAUGCUCUCUUCAGGUGUGUCUGAAGAGAGCUACAGUGUGCUCAUAUACAUAAAUACAAAAUAAAAAAAAUAAAGUUAGGAGCACUGGCCUGCUCUUGCAGAAGACUCAAAAUUGAUUCCAAGCAUCAACAUGGUGGCUCCCAAACAUCUUCAGGGACCUGAUUCCCUAUCCUAACUUCUGAGGGCAACAGACAACAAAUGGUGUACAUAUAUGCAGGUUGGCAAAAUGUUCAUACUUGACAAUAGACCAGAGAAAUAGUGUUUUUAAUUAAUGGGCUAUCUCCCCAAGCCUCUAAAUCACUUCUUAAAAUGCCGGAAUGUAUAUAAACUCACUGGCAGCAUAUCCUUGGCAACCUCACUAAAACUGUGAUGUAGCUCUAAAUGUCACACAGGAGGAGCAAUGAUAAAUACUUACAAAAUUUAAAAAAAAAAGAAAAAGACUGGAGCUGGACACUUAAAGCUAGCUUCAAAGCACAAGGCCCUCUCCUGGCCUCUGCAGCUACUUGCACCUGUGUGUGUGUGUGUAUGUGUGGCAUGCAUAGUGUGUAUGCAUGUUCAUAUGUGUGUGGUAUAUAUGUGUGCACUUUCAUGUGUAUGUGCAGUGUGUACAGUGUAUGUUUGUAUGUGUAUUAGUGAUGUGGUGUGUAUGUGUGCAGUGUAUGUUUCUGUGUGUAUGAAUAACAUGUGCAGCAUGUAUGUGCAUAUGUGUAAACAAAAAUAUUUGUCUCUAGGUGUGUAACAAAGGUGAAUAAAAUAAAUCUUUUUAAAAAAUGAGUUGGGCUGGAAAUAUGGCUUAGCAGGUGGGAGCACUGACUGUUCUUCCAGAGGUUCUGAGUUCAAUUCCCAGCAACCACAUGGUGGAUCACAACUAUUUCUUUUGGGAUCUGACAUCCUCUUAUCUUGUGUCUGAAGAGAGUGACAGUGUACACACAUACAUAAAAGAAAUAAUGUUUUUUUUUAAAUGGGUCAAAAUAAGUCCUAUCUGAAAACUAAAAAGUUGUUCUGGGCUGGCGAAUGGUUCCAUUGGUAAAGAACCUGGCAAAACCUGACUG
RNAcentral lists this long non-coding RNA (2174 nucleotides) under Mus musculus (house mouse). Its description in RNAcentral is "long non-coding RNA chr4:145845223-145847397". Lineage: Eukaryota; Metazoa; Chordata; Mammalia; Rodentia; Muridae. The record is from RNAcentral.